Molecule: non-coding RNA, 116 nt
Organism: Acanthosepion pharaonis
Lineage: Eukaryota; Metazoa; Mollusca; Cephalopoda; Sepiida; Sepiidae
Source: the annotation of a GenBank genome assembly
UACAGUCAUAUCACAUCAAAACACCAGUUCGUAUCUGUCCAGUCACCAAAGUUAAGCAAUGUUGAGCCUGGUCAGUACUUAGAUGGGUGACUGCUUGGGAAUAUCAGGUGCUGUAA